Molecule: ribosomal RNA, 510 nt
Filed under: uncultured bacterium
Lineage: Bacteria
Description: partial 16S ribosomal RNA
Rfam family: Bacterial small subunit ribosomal RNA
Source: RNAcentral
GACGAACGCUGGCGGUGUGCUUAACACAUGCAAGUCGAACGAAGAGCGAUGGAAGCUUGCUUCUAUCAAUCUUAGUGGCGAACGGGUGAGUGACGCGUAAUCAACCUGCCCUUCAGAGGGGGACAACAGUUGGAAACGACUGCUAAUACCGCAUACGAUCUAAUCUCGGCAUCGAGGAUAGAUGAAAGGUGGCCUCUACAUGUAAGCUAUCACUGAAGGAGGGGAUUGCGUCUGAUUAGCUAGUUGGAGGGGUAACGGCCCACCAAGGCGAUGAUCAGUAGCCGGUCUGAGAGGAUGAACGGCCACAUUGGGACUGAGACACGGCCCAGACUCCUACGGGAGGCAGCAGUGGGGAAUCUUCCGCAAUGGACGAAAGUCUGACGGAGCAACGCCGCGUGAGCGAUGACGGCCUUCGGGUUGUAAAGCUCUGUUAAUCGGGACGAAAGGCCUUCUUGCGAAUAGUGAGAAGGAUUGACGGUACCGGAAGAGAAAGCCACGGCUAACUACGUG